This 44-nucleotide ribosomal RNA is filed under the name Lactifluus sp. 2 JH-2015. RNAcentral describes it as "partial 28S ribosomal RNA". The record is from RNAcentral. Lineage: Eukaryota; Fungi; Basidiomycota; Agaricomycetes; Russulales; Russulaceae.
CCUCAAAUCGGGUGAGACUACCCGCUGAACUUAAGCAUAUCAUA